GAUGUGAUUAAAUAAGAAAUAUUAUAUCAUUCAGCCUUUGGUAGAAUGCAUUUACUAUUGUUGUUUCCUGAAGAAGGGCUUCUGACAAACGAGGAGUUUCUCGUUGCUGUUACUUGGAAUUUCCGUCACUCGUGCUUCCCAUUUCAGCUGCGAUGCUAUAGAUCUCGCUGUUUCUAUGAGAGGAGCAGCAUCGCGGAGUAUAAUCCAGCCCUCUGGCCUUAAAAUGCGAUCUAUCUCCAAG
RNAcentral lists this unclassified non-coding RNA (241 nucleotides) under Hevea brasiliensis (rubber tree). Lineage: Eukaryota; Viridiplantae; Streptophyta; Magnoliopsida; Malpighiales; Euphorbiaceae. The record is from RNAcentral.